GCUUAUUUUUGGGCGCGGCUGUGCCCGCGGUUUAUUUUUGGCACCCCGAGGCCCUCGCAAAGUCUUGCCGCAUUCCGAGUCCGGCGGACGAACUUCGCCCGCGCCCCCCACCAAGGCUAUAGCCCACCCGUUUUUUGGCCAUUUUUCCGCUGGGGGGUUUUGGCGCCACGACCUUCGGGCUCUUAUUUUUGGGCGCGGCUUUGCCCACGGCUUAUUUUUGGCACCUCGAGGCCCCUCGCAAAGUCUCGCCCCAUUCCGAGUCCGGCGGACGAACUUCGCCCGCGCCCCCCACCAAGGCUAUAGCCCACCCGUUUUUUGGCCAUUUUUCCGCUGGGGGGUUUUGGCCCCACGACCUUCGGGCUCUUAUUUUUGGGCGCGGCUUUGCCCGCGGCUUAUUUUUGGCACCCCGAGGCCCCUCGCAAGGCCUCGCCCCAUUCCGAGUCCGGCGGACGAACUUCGCCCGCGCCCCCCACCAAGGCUAU
This 482-nucleotide long non-coding RNA is filed under the name Citrus x clementina. RNAcentral's name for it is "Citrus clementina (C. clementina) long non-coding RNA (CCLE_LNC004819)". Lineage: Eukaryota; Viridiplantae; Streptophyta; Magnoliopsida; Sapindales; Rutaceae. The record is from RNAcentral.